GCGGUUGUAGCUCAGUGGAUAGAGCGUCUGUUUCCAAGCUGAAGGUCGUAGGUUCGACCUUCCCUUACGCG
Nicotiana sylvestris (wood tobacco) is the source of this 71-nucleotide non-coding RNA. The record is from Rfam. NCBI's taxonomy places the organism in Eukaryota, Viridiplantae, Streptophyta, Magnoliopsida, Solanales, Solanaceae.